UCAGUGCAACAACUGUGCUACAAAUG
RNAcentral lists this non-coding RNA (26 nucleotides) under Macaca fascicularis (crab-eating macaque). RNAcentral also lists the same sequence under 1 other name. The record is from RNAcentral. Lineage: Eukaryota; Metazoa; Chordata; Mammalia; Primates; Cercopithecidae.